This 433-nucleotide ribosomal RNA is filed under the name uncultured bacterium. RNAcentral describes it as "partial 16S ribosomal RNA". It matches the Rfam family "Bacterial small subunit ribosomal RNA", at positions 29 to 507 of the family's 1533-position model. The record is from RNAcentral.
AACGAACGCUGGCGGCAUGCCUAACACAUGCAAGUCGAACGAGACCUUCGGGUCUAGUGGCGCACGGGUGCGUAACGCGUGGGAACCUGCCCUUAGGUUCGGAAUAACUCCCCGAAAGGGGUGCUAAUACCGGAUAAUGUCUUCGGACCAAAGAUUUAUCGCCUUUGGAUGGGCCCGCGUUGGAUUAGCUAGUUGGUAGGGUAAAAGCCUACUAAGGCGACGAUCCAUAGCUGGUAUGAGAGGAUGAUCAGCCACACUGGGACUGAGACACGGCCCAGACUCCUACGGGAGGCAGGAGUGGGGAAUAUAGGACAACGGGCUAAAGCCUGAUCCAGCAAUGCCGCGUGAGUGAUGAAGGCCUUAGGGUUGUAAAGCUCUUUUACCCGGGAUGAUAAUGACAGUACCGGGAGAAUAAGCUCCGGCUAACUACGUG